This 474-nucleotide ribosomal RNA is filed under the name uncultured bacterium. RNAcentral describes it as "bacterial SSU rRNA". It matches the Rfam family "Bacterial small subunit ribosomal RNA", at positions 33 to 518 of the family's 1533-position model. The record is from RNAcentral.
AGGACGACGCUGGCGGCGUGCCUAACACAUGCAAGUCGAGCGAGGAGAUCCUUCGGGAUGAUCCUAGCGGCGGACGGGUGAGUAACACGUGGGCAACCUGCCUCAUAGAGAGGAAUAGCCUUCCGAAAGGGAGAUUAAUACCUCAUAACAUUGCAGUUUCGCAUGGAACAGCAAUUAAAGGAGCAAUCCACUAUGAGAUGGGCCCGCGGCGCAUUAGCUAGUUGGUGAGGUAACGGCUCACCAAGGCGACGAUGCGUAGCCGACCUGAGAGGGUGAUCGGCCACAUUGGGACUGAGACACGGCCCAGACUCCUACGGGAGGCAGCAGUGGGGAAUAUUGCACAAUGGGGGAAACCCUGAUGCAAGCAACGCCGCGUGAGUGAUGACGGCCUUCGGGUUGUAAAGCUCUGUCUUCAGGGACGAUAAUGACGGUACCUGAGGAGGAAGCCACGGCUAACUACGUGCCAGCAGCGGC